This 511-nucleotide ribosomal RNA is filed under the name Amolops marmoratus (marbled sucker frog). Its description in RNAcentral is "partial large subunit ribosomal RNA". It matches the Rfam family "Bacterial large subunit ribosomal RNA", at positions 1814 to 2551 of the family's 2925-position model. The record is from RNAcentral. Lineage: Eukaryota; Metazoa; Chordata; Amphibia; Anura; Ranidae.
CAUCGCCUCCUGACAAAUAUAGGAGGUCCAGCCUGCCCAGUGACAAAGUUCAACGGCCGCGGUACCCUAACCGUGCGAAGGUAGCAUAAUCACUUGUUCUUUAAAUGAGGACUAGUAUCAACGGCACCACGAGGACUCUACUGUCUCCUCCCUCCAAUCAGUGAAACUGAUCCCCCCGUGAAGAAGCGGGGAUUAUUCUAUAAGACGAGAAGACCCCAUGGAGCUUUAAACCCAAUAGGCAUCUCUGCAAACUUAAACCACCUUAGCCUUAGAGAUAUGCACUAUUAGUUUUAGGCUGGGGUGACCGCGGAGUAAAACUAAACCUCCACGACAAACGGGCUAACGCCCUGAUCUACGAACCACACUUCUAAGAACCAAUAUAUUGUUGUCCAAUGACCCAAUUAUAUGAUCAACGAACCAAGUUACCCUGGGGAUAACAGCGCAAUCUACUUCAAGAGCCCCUAUCGACAAGUAGGUUUACGACCUCGAUGUUGGAUCAGGGUAUCCCAGU